Small nucleolar RNA from Coffea eugenioides, 119 nucleotides. RefSeq annotates it as small nucleolar RNA snoR104. The record is from RefSeq and is a predicted model, not a curated record. The transcript has a single exon. Lineage: Eukaryota; Viridiplantae; Streptophyta; Magnoliopsida; Gentianales; Rubiaceae.
GGGGAGCAUCAAAAAGUUGAGAUGUUUCCUGAUAUAGUCUUCCUACAAAAAAAUCUGUGUGAUUUCCUGCUUGUGGUUCUUGAGCAAGUUCUACAGGUCUCAAGCUGACAGAUACAUGA